Molecule: small RNA, 805 nt
Filed under: Pongo abelii (Sumatran orangutan)
Lineage: Eukaryota; Metazoa; Chordata; Mammalia; Primates; Hominidae
Description: processed transcript
Source: RNAcentral
GGCUCUGUAAGGAGGCAAGGUUCUCAGGGGACAGGCUGACCAGGAUCACCAGGAAGCUCCAGAGCAUCCCCAGGAGGCCCUAGAGGGGCACCAAAGGAGAAGAUCUGUAAGUAAACCUUUGUUAGAGCCUCCAAGGUUCAGUUCUCAGCUGAGGCUUCUCACAUGCUGCCUCUCUCUCCAGGCCAGUGGGUCUCCAUUGCCCAGCUCCUGCCCACAGUCCUGCCCACACUCCUGCCUGUUGCCGUGACCAGAGUCAUCAUGUCUCUUGAGCAGAAGAGUCAGCAUUGCAAGCCUGAGGAAGGCCUUGACGCCCAAGAAGAGGCCCUGGGCCUGGUGGGUGUGCAGGCUGCCGCUACUGAGGAGCAGGAGGCUGUGUCCUCCUCCUCUCCUCUGGUCCCAGGCACCCUGGAGGAGGUGCCUGCUGCUGGGUCACCAGGUCCUCUCAAGAGUCCUCAGGGAGCCUCCGCCUUCCCCACUGCCAUCGAUUUCACUCUAUGGAGGCAAUCCAUUAAGGGAUCCAGCAACCAAGAAGAGGAGGGGCCAAGCACCUCUCCUGACCCAGAGUCUGUGUUCUGAGCAGCACUCAGUAAGAAGGUGGCUGACUGGAUUCAUUUUCUGCUCCUCAAGUAUUAAGUCAAGGAGCCAGUCACAAAGGCAGAAAUGCUGGAGAGUGUCAUCAAAAAUUACAAGCACUACUUUCCUGUGAUCUUCGGCAAAGCCUCCGAGUCCUUGCAGCUGGUCUUUGGCAUUGACGUGAAGGAAGUGGACCCCACCAGCAACACCUACACCCUUGUCACCUGCCUGG